This 253-nucleotide ribosomal RNA is filed under the name uncultured bacterium. Its description in RNAcentral is "partial 16S ribosomal RNA". It matches the Rfam family "Bacterial small subunit ribosomal RNA", at positions 524 to 776 of the family's 1533-position model. The record is from RNAcentral.
UACAGAGGGUGCGAGCGUUAAUCGGAAUUACUGGGCGUAAAGCGUGCGUAGACGGUUUCGUAAGUCGGGUGUGAAAUCCCCGGGCUCAACCUGGGAGUUGCAUUCGAAACUGCGAGGCUAGGGUACGGAAGAGGGAAGCGGAAUUUCUGGUGUAGCGGUGAAAUGCGUAGAUAUCAGAAGGAACAUCAGUGGCGAAAGCGGCUUCCUGGUCCAGUACCGACGUUCAGGCACGAAAGCGUGGGGAGCAAACAGG